CAUGGGCAUGUGCUGGUGGAGCUAAGCCUCGGUGGGAGUCGCUGCAAAACUUCCCCGUUUGAGCUGUCUGAUAGUGUCAGAACAGCAGCCGACACAGGUGGGACCUGAAGAAGCCACUGGAGGGAAUUUUGGGAAGGAACUUGUGAUGUGCACUUUGGACUGAAAUCAAAUCUUGAAAUAGUGAUGUGUCAGGAGAAGCAGAAGCCUUACGCUCUGAGUGCGAUUGUAAAACUUUCUGCUGCAGCUUCUAAUCAGGUAUGUCUCUGUUGGGGUUCUAGACAUUCCUUAGAGAUCCUCCCCAAGCUUAUAUACCAAAAAGGUAAGAUCUGAACAGCAAAGUUUAUCUGUAGAAAUUUGAUUGCAGACAGUUACAGAAUUAUUUGAAGGUUUACCAAGUACUGCAGAGCAGUAGUAAAUAAGUAAAAGCAGAAGGAUAAGCUGCACUAUUUAACAACCCAUUUAUUGUAUUUGACUAAUUAGAACAUAAAGCCGUUUCAGCAGUAAGCUGAAGUUGCUUCGUGUAGCAUAAAUGCAUUUACUUCAGCAGUACAUAAUAAAAAUCCUAGACCUUUAAUGCCA
RNAcentral lists this long non-coding RNA (579 nucleotides) under Anser brachyrhynchus (Pink-footed goose). RNAcentral's name for it is "lncRNA (ENSABRG00000015454.1)". Lineage: Eukaryota; Metazoa; Chordata; Aves; Anseriformes; Anatidae. The record is from RNAcentral.